ACCUACUUGACUCAGCAGUUAGAGUAUCGCUUUCAUACGGCGAGAGUCAUUGGUUAAAAUCCAAUAGUAGGUA
Molecule: non-coding RNA, 73 nt
Organism: Nicotiana sylvestris (wood tobacco)
Lineage: Eukaryota; Viridiplantae; Streptophyta; Magnoliopsida; Solanales; Solanaceae
Source: Rfam